AUUGAACGCUGGCGGCAUGCUUUACACAUGCAAGUCGAGCGGUAACAGGCCUUCGGGUGCUGACGAGUGGCGAACGGGUGAGUAAUGCAUCGGAACGUACCCAGAGGUGGGGGAUAACGCAGCGAAAGCUGUGCUAAUACCGCAUGUGAUCUGAGGAUGAAAGCGGGGGACCGAGCAGCAAUGUUUGGCCUCGCGCCUUUGGAGCGGCCGAUGUCGGAUUAGCUAGUUGGUGGGGUAAAGGCCUACCAAGGCGACGAUCCGUAGCUGGUCUGAGAGGACGACCAGCCACACUGGGACUGAGACACGGCCCAGACUCCUACGGGAGGCAGCAGUGGGGAAUUUUGGACAAAGGGCGCAAGCCUGAUCCAGCAAUGCCGCGUGCGGGAAGAAGGCCUUCGGGUUGUAAACCGCUUUUGGCAGGAACGAAACGGUGUCCGCUAAUACCGGGCGCUAAUGACGGUACCUGCAGAAUAAGCACCGGCCAACUACGUG
Molecule: ribosomal RNA, 492 nt
Filed under: uncultured bacterium
Lineage: Bacteria
Description: partial 16S ribosomal RNA
Rfam family: Bacterial small subunit ribosomal RNA
Source: RNAcentral